RNAcentral lists this ribosomal RNA (615 nucleotides) under Lissopterus sp. LIM2. Its description in RNAcentral is "partial 16S ribosomal RNA". It matches the Rfam family "Bacterial large subunit ribosomal RNA", at positions 1848 to 2760 of the family's 2925-position model. Lineage: Eukaryota; Metazoa; Arthropoda; Insecta; Coleoptera; Carabidae. The record is from RNAcentral.
AGGUCUGACCUGCCCACUGAAAUUAUUUUAAAUGGCCGCAGUAAUUUGACUGUGCAAAGGUAGCAUAAUCAUUAGUUUUUUAAUUAAAAGCUUGUAUGAAGGGUUGGACGAGAUAAAAUCUGUCUCUAUUUAAUUUAUUAUAAAAUUUAAUUUUUAAGUUAAAAAGCUUAAAUUUUUUUAAAAGACGAGAAGACCCUAUAGAUCUUUAUAGUUUUGAUUUUGAAUUUAAUUAAUAAAUUUUUAUGGUUUAUAAUUUAAACUAUUUUAUUGGGGUAAUAGAAAGAUUAAAAUAAUUCUUUUUUUCUUUAAACAUUUAUUUAUGUUUUUAAUGAUCCAAUUUUAUUGAUUAUAAGAUUAAGUUACCUUAGGGAUAACAGCGUAAUUUUUUUAGAGAGUUCUUAUCGAUAAAAAAGUUUGCGACCUCGAUGUUGGAUUAAAGAUUAGUUUAGGUGUAGAAGUUUAAAUUUUUGGUCUGUUCGACCAUUAAAUCUUUACAUGAUCUGAGUUCAGACCGGCGUAAGCCAGGUCGGUUUCUAUCUUUAAUAAUUUUAAAAUAUUUUAGUACGAAAGGACCAAAUAUUUAAUAUAUUUAUAUUUAAUUUUUUGAAUAUUAUU